GAGCUUGCUCUCGGGUGACGAGCGGCGGACGGGUGAGUAAUGUCUGGGAAACUGCCUGAUGGAGGGGGAUAACUACUGGAAACGGUAGCUAAUACCGCAUAAUGUCGCAAGACCAAAGUGGGGGACCUUCGGGCCUCAUGCCAUCAGAUGUGCCCAGAUGGGAUUAGCUAGUAGGUGGGGUAACGGCUCACCUAGGCGACGAUCCCUAGCUGGUCUGAGAGGAUGACCAGCCACACUGGAACUGAGACACGGUCCAGACUCCUACGGGAGGCAGCAGUGGGGAAUAUUGCACAAUGGGCGCAAGCCUGAUGCAGCCAUGCCGCGUGUGUGAAGAAGGCCUUCGGGUUGUAAAGCACUUUCAGCGGGGAGGAAGGCGAUAAGGUUAAUAACCUUGUCGAUUGACGUUACCCGCAGAAGAAGCACCGGCUAACUCCGUGCCAGCAGCCGCGGUAAUACGGAGGGUGCAAGCGUUAAUCGGAAUUACUGGGCGUAAAGCGCACGCAGGCGGUCUGUCAAGUCGGAUGUGAAAUCCCCGGGCUCAACCUGGGAACUGCAUUCGAAACUGGCAGGCUAGAGUCUUGUAGAGGGGGGUAGAAUUCCAGGUGUAGCGGUGAAAUGCGUAGAGAUCUGGAGGAAUACCGGUGGCGAAGGCGGCCCCCUGGACAAAGACUGACGCUCAGGUGCGAAAGCGUGGGGAGCAACAGGAUUAGAUACCCUGGUAGUC
RNAcentral lists this ribosomal RNA (724 nucleotides) under Klebsiella sp. HGB0169. RNAcentral describes it as "bacterial SSU rRNA". It matches the Rfam family "Bacterial small subunit ribosomal RNA", at positions 76 to 795 of the family's 1533-position model. Lineage: Bacteria; Pseudomonadati; Pseudomonadota; Gammaproteobacteria; Enterobacterales; Enterobacteriaceae. The record is from RNAcentral.